Molecule: ribosomal RNA, 440 nt
Filed under: uncultured bacterium
Lineage: Bacteria
Description: partial 16S ribosomal RNA
Rfam family: Bacterial small subunit ribosomal RNA
Source: RNAcentral
CCUACGGGUGGCAGCAGUGGGGAAUAUUGCACAAUGGGGGAAACCCUGAUGCAGCGACGCCGCGUGAGUGAAGAAGUAUUUCGGUAUGUAAAGCUCUAUCAGCAGGGAAGAAAAUGACGGUACCUGAUUCAGAAGCCCCGGCUAACUACGUGCCAGCAGCCGCGGUAAGACGUAGGGGGCAAGCGUUAUCCGGAUUUACUGGGUGUAAAGGGAGCGUAGACGGCAGCACAAGUCUGGAGUGAAAUGCCGGGGCUUAACCCCGGAACUGCUUUGGAAACUGGGCAGCUAGAGUGCAGGAGAGGUAAGUGGAAUUCCUAGUGUAGCGGUGAAAUGCGUAGAUAUUAGGAGGAACACCAGUGGCGAAGGCGGCUUACUGGACUGUAACUGACGUUGAGGCUCGAAAGCGUGGGGAGCAAACAGGAUUAGAUACCCUAGUAGUC